CGUCAGAUAGUAAUAUUACAUGAAUAUGGGAUCUAAUCAUUGAAACCAGGUGUACUUACCAUUUUUUGGCAUAGAUACAGAUGUUAUUAAUGGAAAUUUCAAAAUCGAUAUAAAAUGAUUGAACGGGGGAUGAUUUGAUAAAGGAAAGCAAAAAAAAUUAACAUCAAUAGGAUGAAAAUAUGGUGUAAAUAAGAGGUAAAGAAAAGAAAAAGAAAAAAAAUAGAAAGGGGAAUACAAAAGUUCUAUUAGGAAUUGAAAAGAGCAAAGUGACAAUCUAAUUAGGGAUGUAAACUAAUUUUAUACCUAGGGUUAGUAAACCAUAGGGGCGACACAACAAUUUACCCAAUCUUGCU
RNAcentral lists this long non-coding RNA (353 nucleotides) under Gossypium raimondii (Peruvian cotton). RNAcentral's name for it is "long non-coding RNA (GRAI_LNC003608)". The record is from RNAcentral. Lineage: Eukaryota; Viridiplantae; Streptophyta; Magnoliopsida; Malvales; Malvaceae.